This 393-nucleotide long non-coding RNA is filed under the name Phaseolus vulgaris (common bean). Its description in RNAcentral is "long non-coding RNA (PVUL_LNC002968)". The record is from RNAcentral. Lineage: Eukaryota; Viridiplantae; Streptophyta; Magnoliopsida; Fabales; Fabaceae.
UUCUUCCUACACCUCUAUAUAUUUUUUUAAAUACCAAAUAUACUCUCCUUUUUUUAAAUGAAUAUUGGAUUGGCUAAUCUAAAACCUCAAAGUGGGUCCAGUAUUGUGUAUUGGAUUGUACAAUCUGAUUUGUAAAUUUAAAACACAAAUUGGACAUAUCCGGUUUGAGAUUUUGGAUUGGUCAAUCCAAUAUUCAUUUCAAAAGAAGUAUAUUGUCGAUUGAAACAGGGUCUACGAUUUAUAUGAAGAAAGAGGAGGUGCAUAAUAUUAAGCAGAUGCUAGUGUCUAGUUCUAGUAGUAGCAGUAAGAAGAAGAAGUCUUGUGCUUUGGAAUUUGAGGAGCUAAAGAAGCAUUUUGAUAUUCCCAUUAAUAAAGUUGUGUUUCAAAUGAAUG